GAGUGAUGUGAUGGCAUACCAUCUUUCGGGACUGACUCUUGAGAUGGAGAGAUCCUUUCUGACUUACUGAUCACUG
Gambusia affinis (western mosquitofish) is the source of this 76-nucleotide small nucleolar RNA. Lineage: Eukaryota; Metazoa; Chordata; Actinopteri; Cyprinodontiformes; Poeciliidae. The record is from Ensembl.